GAGUUUGAUCAUGGCUCAGAUUGAACGCUGGCGGCACGCCUAACACAUGCAAGUCGAGCGGCAGCGCGAUUAGUAGCAAUACUAAUUGGCGGCGAGCGGCGGACGGGUGAGGAACACGUAGGAAUCUACCCUCAAGCGGGGGAUAACUAAGGGAAACUUUAGCUAAUACCGCAUAAUCUCGAGAGAGAAAAGCUGCAGCAAUGUGGCACUUGAGGAGGAGCCUGCGUCCGAUUAGCUAGUUGGUGGGGUAAGAGCUCACCAAGGCGAUGAUCGGUAACUGGUCUGAGAGGACGACCAGUCACACUGGGACUGAGACACGGCCCAGACUCCUACGGGAGGCAGCAGUGGGGAAUAUUGGACAAUGGGGGCAACCCUGAUCCAGCGAUGCCGCGUGAGUGAAGAAGGCCUU
Molecule: ribosomal RNA, 409 nt
Filed under: uncultured Gammaproteobacteria bacterium
Lineage: Bacteria; Pseudomonadati; Pseudomonadota; Gammaproteobacteria
Description: bacterial SSU rRNA
Rfam family: Bacterial small subunit ribosomal RNA
Source: RNAcentral